This 468-nucleotide ribosomal RNA is filed under the name uncultured bacterium. RNAcentral's name for it is "partial 16S ribosomal RNA". It matches the Rfam family "Bacterial small subunit ribosomal RNA", at positions 28 to 507 of the family's 1533-position model. The record is from RNAcentral.
GACGAACGCUGGCGGCGUGCUUAACACAUGCAAGUCGAACGGAAAGGCCCUGCUUUUGUGGGGUGCUCGAGUGGCGAACGGGUGAGUAACACGUGAGUAACCUGCCCUUGACUUUGGGAUAACUUCAGGAAACUGGGGCUAAUACCGGAUAGGAGCUCCUGCUGCAUGGUGGGGGUUGGAAAGUUUCGGCGGUUGGGGAUGGACUCGCGGCUUAUCAGCUUGUUGGUGGGGUAGUGGCUUACCAAGGCUUUGACGGGUAGCCGGCAUGAGAGGGUGACCGGCGACAUGGGGACUGAGAGACGGACCAGACGCCUACGGGAGGCAACAGUGGGGAAUAUUGCACAGUGGGCGGAAGCCUGAUGCAGCAACGCCGCGUGCGGGAUGACGGCCUUCGGGUUGUAAACCGCAGUCGCCUGUGACGAAGCGUGAGUGACGGUAAUGGGUAAAGAAGCACCGGCUAACUACGUG